AGUGGGGAAUUUUGGACAAUGGGCGCAAGCCUGAUCCAGCCAUGCCGCGUGCAGGAUGAAGGCCUUCGGGUUGUAAACUGCUUUUGUACGGAACGAAAAGACUCUGGUUAAUACCUGGGGUCCAUGACGGUACCUGAAGAAUAAGCACCGGCUAACUACGUGCCAGCAGCCGCGGUAAUACGUAGGGUGCGAGCGUUAAUCGGAAUUACUGGGCGUAAAGCGUGCGCAGGCGGCUUUGCAAGACAGAUGUGAAAUCCCCGGGCUCAACCUGGGAACUGCAUUUGUGACUGCAAGGCUAGAGUACGGUAGAGGGGGAUGGAAUUCCGCGUGUAGCAGUGAAAUGCGUAGAUAUGCGGAGGAACACCAAUGGCGAAGGCAAUCCCCUGGACCUGUACUGACGCUCAUGCACGAAAGCGUGGGGAGCAAACAGGAUUAGAUACCCUGGUAGUCCACGCCCUAAACGAUGUCAACUGGUUGUUGGACGGCUUGCUGUUCAGUAACGAAGCUAACGCGUGAAGUUGACCGCCUGGGGA
Molecule: ribosomal RNA, 533 nt
Filed under: uncultured bacterium
Lineage: Bacteria
Description: bacterial SSU rRNA
Rfam family: Bacterial small subunit ribosomal RNA
Source: RNAcentral